UACGGAGGGUGCAAGCGUUAUCCGGAAUCACUGGGUUUAAAGGGUGCGUAGGCGGUGGUGUAAGUCAGUUGUGAAAUGCCCCGGCUUAACCGGCGGAACUGCGAUUGAUACUGCAUCACUUGAAUCAGGAUGAGGUAGGCGGAAUGUGGCAUGUAGCGGGGAAAUGCUUAGAUAUGCCAUAGAACACCGAUUGCGAAGGCAGCUUGCUGGGCCUGAAUUGACGCUGUGGCGCGAUAGCGUGUGGAGCAAACAGG
This 254-nucleotide ribosomal RNA is filed under the name uncultured bacterium. RNAcentral's name for it is "partial 16S ribosomal RNA". It matches the Rfam family "Bacterial small subunit ribosomal RNA", at positions 524 to 776 of the family's 1533-position model. The record is from RNAcentral.